RNAcentral lists this ribosomal RNA (484 nucleotides) under uncultured bacterium. Its description in RNAcentral is "bacterial SSU rRNA". It matches the Rfam family "Bacterial small subunit ribosomal RNA", at positions 20 to 518 of the family's 1533-position model. The record is from RNAcentral.
UGGCUCAGGACGAACGCUGGCGGCGUGCUUAACACAUGCAAGUCGAGCGAUGAAGCUCCUUCGGGAGUGGAUUAGCGGCGGACGGGUGAGUAACACGUGGGUAACCUGCCUCAUAGAGGGGAAUAGCCUCUCGAAAGGAAGAUUAAUACCGCAUAUGGUAGCUUUAUCGCAUGGUAAUGCUAUUAAAGGGGUAAUCCGCUAUGAGAUGGACCCGCGUCGCAUUAGCUAGUUGGUGAGGUAACGGCUCACCAUGGCGACGAUGCGUAGCCGACCUGAGAGGGUGAUCGGCCACAUUGGGACUGAGACACGGCCCAGACUCCUACGGGAGGCAGCAGUGGGGAAUAUUGCGCAAAUGGGGGAAACCCUGACGCAGCAACGCCGCGUGAAGGAAGAAGGCCUUCGGGUUGUAAACUUCUUUGAUUAGGGACGAAUAAAUGACGGUACCUAAGGAACAAGCCACGGCUAACUACGUGCCAGCCGCAGC